UACGAAGGGGGGCUAGCGUUGCUCGGAAUCACUGGGCGUAAAGGGUGCGUAGGCGGGUCUUUUAAGUCAGGGGUGAAAUCCUGGAGCUCAACUCCAGAACUGCCUUUGAUACUGAGGAUCUUGAGUUCGGGAGAGGUGAGUGGAACUGCGAGUGUAGAGGUGAAAAUUCGUAGAUAUUCGCAAGAACACCAGUGGCGAAGGCGGCUCACUGGCCCGAUACUGACGCUGAGGCACGAAAGCGUGGGGAGCAAACAGG
Molecule: ribosomal RNA, 256 nt
Filed under: uncultured bacterium
Lineage: Bacteria
Description: partial 16S ribosomal RNA
Rfam family: Bacterial small subunit ribosomal RNA
Source: RNAcentral